GGCCAGACUCCUACGGGAGGCAGCAGUGGGGAAUAUUGGACAAUGGGGGAAACCCUGAUCCAGCGACGCCGCGUGAGUGAAGAAGUAUUUCGGUACGUAAAGCUCUAUCAGCAGGAAAGAAAAUGACGGUACCUGACUAAGAAGCCCCGGCUAACUACGUGCCAGCAGCCGCGGUAAUACGUAGGGGGCAAGCGUUAUCCGGAUUUACUGGGUGUAAAGGGCGUGUAGGCGGGGACGCAAGUCAGAUGUGAAAGCCACGGGCUCAACCUGUGGCCUGCAUUUGAAACUGUGUUUCUUGAGUACUGGAGAGGCAGACGGAAUUCCUAGUGUAGCGGUGAAAUGCGUAGAUAUUAGGAGGAACACCAGUGGCGAAGGCGGUCUGCUGGACAGCAACUGACGCUGAGGCGCGAAAGCGUGGGGAGCAAACAGGAUUAGAUACCCUAGUA
This 446-nucleotide ribosomal RNA is filed under the name uncultured bacterium. RNAcentral's name for it is "bacterial SSU rRNA". It matches the Rfam family "Bacterial small subunit ribosomal RNA", at positions 329 to 792 of the family's 1533-position model. The record is from RNAcentral.